This 110-nucleotide non-coding RNA is filed under the name bacterium YEK0313. Its description in RNAcentral is "TPP riboswitch aptamer (THI element)". It matches the Rfam family "TPP riboswitch aptamer (THI element)". Rfam says of the family: Vitamin B(1) in its active form thiamin pyrophosphate (TPP) is an essential coenzyme that is synthesised by coupling of pyrimidine and thiazole moieties in bacteria. The previously detected thiamin-regulatory element, thi box was extended, resulting in a new, highly conserved RNA secondary structure, the THI element, which is widely distributed in eubacteria and also occurs in some archaea. Analysis of operon structures identified a large number of new candidate thiamin-regulated genes, mostly transporters, in various prokaryotic organisms. The record is from Rfam by way of RNAcentral.
GCUCACUCUGAGGGGAGCCCCACGCGGGGGGCUGAGAGGCUGCGACAUCGGCGGCGACCCUUGAACCUGAUCCGGAUCAUGCCGGCGGAGGGACAGGGAUGGACGUUGCA